Molecule: long non-coding RNA, 206 nt
Filed under: Vigna radiata
Lineage: Eukaryota; Viridiplantae; Streptophyta; Magnoliopsida; Fabales; Fabaceae
Description: long non-coding RNA (VRAD_LNC007230)
Source: RNAcentral
GGAAAAUUAGUUAGAAAAUUGGGGUUUGAGUUGCAUAAUUCUGCUGAAUUUCGUGCUGCAGAUUAUGCAGACUCGUUGAGCAAAUAGAUUCGUAUAACGAGUGGUCCUGGCGAGAUACUCUCUACCAGGGCAUUCGCACAGUGAAUUGGUGCGCUGUGCAAAUGGCUUAAGACGUUUGCUCUCUGCCUGGACAUUUGCACAGCGAG